AUUCUCCUCCCCUUGCUGGUCAGCAGCCCCAGAUAAAGGAGCGGAGAGAGACAAGAAGAGAGAGUAGGCUUCUUGACACGACCUAUUUCCUCUCGACGUCUCUAGGUUCCAAGGAACUUAACUUCUUUAGCCGAGCGAGGACGUGCGGGUCGUUCUCCUACCCGCUGCGAAGGCCACCUCCUGCUCGUCUUUCUCUCUCUUAUCUGCGUUUCCUCCAGCGUAGUGUCCCCACGCGUGUAGCUUCUACAGGCGCCGACUUCAGCAGCCGCUGCUCUACGAAUCGAUCCGGCCGCGUGGAGAUCCGAUCAGGGCGGGACACCUGGUCGUUACGUACCCGUGACUGUGCCUACUGUUUCCUUCGUUAGGACUUUUGUUGUGUCUGUUGUCUUUACGUCUUCCGUUUAUCGUCACAGAACUUCUAGGUUGUAAUCUUCUCGCUCCUAUAGUACAUCUUUAGUGACUGUGCCUUCAAAGAUGUUACCAAACAUUGGAAAAGUUAUUUAUAGGUAUAAAAAAGACUCAAAAUAAUCAACUAUGUCCCCAAUUGAUCCAUUGUGCCCUACAAUUGAUCGACAAAACGGCACAGUUGUACAGAUACAUGAGAACAACUUUGAUCCAUCUCCUCGUAGACGUUCGACGAUCAGUUGAAGUCAUGACUUUUUGUUGUAUACAACGAGACUAGUUAAGGUACUUGUUACCUGUCGUGUCAAGUCAAAUCAAUCAAGACUUGUCGUUGAGGACAGGAGCAUGUAGGUAUUAGAAAACAUAAAUAUAACCGACCCGGACCGGACG
RNAcentral lists this ribosomal RNA (792 nucleotides) under Triticum aestivum (bread wheat). RNAcentral's name for it is "partial small subunit ribosomal RNA". The record is from RNAcentral. Lineage: Eukaryota; Viridiplantae; Streptophyta; Magnoliopsida; Poales; Poaceae.